GAUGAAGAACGUAGUGAAAUGCGAUAAUUAAUGUGAAUUGCAGAAUUCCGUGAAUAAUCGAGUCUUUGAACGCACAUUGCGCCUCAUGGCAUUCCGUGAGGCAUGUCCAUCUCAGCGUUAGAAAAUAUUCUCAAAUUUUAGUUUUGUGCUAAAAUUUGGAUCAUGUCAAGGAAGCUAUUACUAUUAUUGUGAUCGCUCUUUGGAAAUUGAUAGGUCUUUGAGUUGCUACUCAUAGAACGUGAUGAAUCUUUCUUCGUUCUAUUGUAAUUCACUCUGGUAGUCCUAAAACUUGUAUGCCUGUGGCAUAUCUUGUAAUUUGACCUGAGAUUGGGUAGGGAUACCCGCUGAACUUAAGCAUAUCAAUAAGCGGAGGA
RNAcentral lists this unclassified non-coding RNA (374 nucleotides) under soil metagenome. RNAcentral describes it as "partial contains internal transcribed spacer 2 and large subunit ribosomal RNA". The stretch from base 1 to 120 matches the Rfam family "5.8S ribosomal RNA", at positions 35 to 154 of the family's 154-position model. The record is from RNAcentral.